GACGAACGCUGGCGGCGUGCUUAACACAUGCAAGUGGAGCGACGAACCGGGGCUUGCCCCGGGCAGAGCCGCGAACGGGUGAGUAACACGUGGGUAACCCACCCCGAUGACCGGGACAACCCGAGGAAACUCGGGCUAAUACCGGAUGUGCUCCUUGACCUCGAGGUCAAGGCGUAAAGAUAGCUUCGGCCUUCGCAUCGGGACGGCCCGCGGCCCAUUAGCUUGUUGGUGGGUAACGGCCUACCAAGGCGACGAUGGGUAGCUGGUCUGAGAGGACGAUCAGCCACACUGGGACUGAGACACGGCCCAGACU
This 313-nucleotide ribosomal RNA is filed under the name uncultured bacterium. RNAcentral describes it as "bacterial SSU rRNA". It matches the Rfam family "Bacterial small subunit ribosomal RNA", at positions 28 to 337 of the family's 1533-position model. The record is from RNAcentral.